Molecule: RNA transcript, 4424 nt
Organism: Canis lupus familiaris (dog)
Lineage: Eukaryota; Metazoa; Chordata; Mammalia; Carnivora; Canidae
Gene: GGACT
Gene name: gamma-glutamylamine cyclotransferase
Exons: 5
Source: RefSeq, a predicted model, not a curated record
GGCCUCCCGGGGCGGCUGCGCGCGCCUCGCCCCACGUUUCCGCUCGCUGCCCGGCCGGCCCUCCCGACGGCGCCGCGCCCCGCCGCAGAGAUUCCUGUUUGUGAGGAAACCCGAAGCUGCCGAAGAAAUCUAAAAACUUCUGGUGUUUGUCAGCGUGUGACGUUAGGUUUCUUUGGAGCUGUUAGGUACACGUCUGAAACACGGGGAGAAACUUCUCGAACAGCCUUGACUACCGAGUCUCGUUGUUGCUCUUCCGCUCUGUCGGCCAAAGGGUGCCCGGUAAUUGGACUUGAAACCCUGAAUCAGUGCACGGUUCUUGAAGCACCGCUUCUUGGCUCCAAGCUGGCUUUAUGAAUACUGAGCUGGACUGAGAGCUGGAAAGAAAUACUUGGUCCAUGCCAUGGUUUCCUGGUCAUCCUGUGAGGUGGGAGUACUUAUCCUGCUGUCCCGUUUAGAAGGAUUCUAAAGUCAAAAGCUUUUGUAAGCUCAUACACUUAUUCUGGUGCUGGAUUCUAGGGCAACACAGCUUUGAAGAAACAUGUUUACAGGUUCCUGUUCCAACUUCAGACUUACUAAAUUAAACUUUGGGAAAAGGAGCCCAGGAGCAGGAGCUGUAUCACAGCUGUUGUGUAACGAAGUUCCGCAGACUGAGGGCUUACACAACAGAAUGUAUGGAGGCUGCAAGUCCAGGGCACGGUUGAUCUCUCCUGAAGGCUCUCUCCUGGACCAGCAGACAGCCGCCUUCUCCCUGUGUCCUUACAUGGCCAUCCCUCUGUUCCAGCAUCCCUGCUGUCUAACUUUCCUCCUCUUAUAAGGACACUGGUUGGACUGAACUAAGGCUUAUUCUGAAGACCUCGUUUUAACUUAAUCCCCUCUUUAAAGACCCUGUCUCCAAAUAUAGCUACAGUCUGAGGUGCUGGGGUUUUUAUGAAUUCGGCAAGAAGUGGGCACAAUUCAGCCCAUAACAAUCAGUAUAUCUUGUUUGCAACUUAGGUUUCACACCAUUUUCCACAUUAGAGUUCUCUGAGCACAUGCCCCCUCUUCCUUCUAGAUUUUGAGCUUGAGGGCAGAGCUCCCAUCUGUGUCCUCACAGUGUGGCAAGCUCUGGGUGGAUGCUGAGUGCUGUGGCUCUGUCCAGACCCAGUACAGGGAGCUGAGUGUCCUCUUCUGUCCUCCAUCUGCACCAGUACACAAUACGUGUGUCUCCAAUGAACUAAUGAUCCUUGUAGAUCUUGUUGUUGGAGAAGGCAGUUUUUAUCUAAUACCUGCUUGGAAACUUUUGUUGUCAUUGAUUUCUUUCUGAUCAAAAUAGAGAAAAGAAUUGGCUAUUUGAGAAUUCCCAGAACCAGGCAGACAUACUCAUUCAUGUUCUCUGCAUGUGCUGCAUUAUGGGGGACAAGUUAAAAUGUGCUCCCUGUCCUUCAGGAAUUUAGUAAGAGAGCAAAUAACCAGAAUGUAGGACAGAAUGUGACCAGCGCACUAAGAUACAAACAGAGAAGGCUUUGGGACAGAGGCAGGAUCUAAGCUGAGAUUUUAUGGAUGGGUUCGAUUUGGGCAGGAAGGUAUAAAUGUAGUGUCCAGGUGGUAGUAAAAGAUUAGGAUUGAGGGAAGCUGGGGAGGGUUCAGGGAGCAACAGCAGGACAAGUUGGCGGGGCUCAGGCUGCAAGUACAAGGUGGGAUUGCACACAGCUGGACAAGACGCAGGGGUGUCCUGAGCAUCACCACCUGGGUUAGAGUUCCUGAACUUGCCUCAGGAAGCUCAGUACAGCUUAAGGGUGAAGGUCAGGGCUAGAGCUCCUAGAAAGGAGAGAUCUGAUUGGGACUGUAGCUAUUUGGAGGUGGGUAAGGGCUUGAACUCCAGAAUCAGACCAGCUCUGCUACUUGUUAGCUGUGUGACUUUGGUCAGGUCAGCUCUGUUGACCUAUACCCUCUGUCUCCACUUCUUCAUAGGCAGAAUGGAAACAAAGGUGCCUAAAUUACAGGUUUCCGGAAGGAUUAAAUCAGUUAAGAUAUGUAAAGUGCUUAGAAGUACACCUGGCUCUUUGUAAGUACUGCAGAAGUGCUGGUCAGGACUAUUAGUGACACCAGGUUUGAAGAGGGUGAUGAUUACCCAAGGAAAUACUACUUUUCUUGCAACACUAAAAAAGGGUGUGUGUGAGAGAAUGGAAAUCAAGAUGUCAGCCUCUCCUAAACUUAGUUGACUAGAUUAUCUAUUAUUUGCUGUUAAGGGUAUGUGACUGGGGACCACAUAGGCAGGGCUUGUCAUUUAUGGAAAAAUAAAAUUUCACAGUGUUUCCAUUGCAUCCAGUAAUUUGAACAUUAUGACAAAGCCAGUAAGGCAGGCAAGACAAGCGGUUCUUCCCUGUGAGGCUACGUGAGGUCCCCCAAGGGCUGCCCUGAAUCCAGACCUUUUGAGUCCCACUAUGUCACAUGGCCUGGGAGAAGUUCCAAGGCAAAUAAGCCUCUGUUUCCUGUAUCUUCUCAGAUCAGGGAACCUCUGGAGAGUGAUCUUUUGAGCAGAAUUAAUAUUUUUCUAUUUAUUUCAUUGAAAAUAACUCUGCUACGGUCCAAAUGUUUGUGUGCCCCCAGAAUUCUGUAAGUCACCCAGUCCAUGUUAUUUUUGUUACAACAACCUAAACUGACUCUUGUUUGUUGGGUACCUACAUGGAUGAUACUCUGUACUGGGGCACUUUACCUGUGUUAUCUGAGGGGGUGCCCACCCUACCUCCAUGAAGUGCUGCUGUGCGACUGGACAGAGAAGGAAACCGAGACUCAGAGUUUCGGUCAUUUGCCAGUGUCACUGUCCAGGCUGGCCUGAUCUCAAAGCCAGUCCCCACAACAGACAUGCUUCUGCCCAUCCUGGGGCCCUGGAAAGAUGGGUGAAAAGCACUCCCAGAACUCAGCAUAGCUGAGUUCUAAGUAAGGGAAUGUUUUCUGCACAGGUUUUUAUUCUAAAGAUAGCAAAAGGAGACCACUUGGAGAAUGUUUGGCCUUUGAAAAAUCAUACUUUGAAAUAGGCAUCGUGUCUCAGAAGAGCCCUCACUGGCAAGACAAGCUCUAAAAUGGGUCAGAAAUGGGAGUAAAAGGGGUGCGUGCCUGGGUGGCUCGGUUGGUUAAGCAUCUGCCUUUGGCUCAGGUGCUGGGAUUGAGCCCCGUGUUGGGUUCCUGCUCAGUGGGGAGCCUGCUUCUCCCUCUUUCCCUGCUUGUGCUCUCACAGUCUCAAAUAAAAUCUUUAAAAAAAAAUUUUUUUAAAGAAAUGGGAGUAAUGGAGCAAAAUAUGGGUCUUACCUCUCAGUAACAAUCAGAAAUAAGCAAUUCUCUGGGGAAGUUUGUAACUAAUAUAGAACUUUUGCUUAUAUGAGAAAAUAACCAAAGAGAAAUACAAAGCAGAGUUCAGGAAGGUUAGAUAAUAAAUGAUGAGCCCAAGAAAGUUUAGAUCAUUAAUGGCGAGUUAAUAAGAAAUGUAACUUGAAAUACUGAAACAGUUUAAAAUGUUCCAGGAAUAUUACUGUUUAACAAGACAGGUGAGUAGGCCAAGAGCUUACCCUAUGGCUGCAGAGUCAGAAGUCAGGGACUGGGCAAAUGAGACAGUGUGUGACUGUUGGGUGUUCUAGGUGCAUUGUGAUCAAAUGAUUCCCAUAGUCGUAAGCCCUGGAGGAGAUGGGGUGGGGGUGCAGCCUGGGCUGUCAGAGACAUUCUGGAUAUCAGAGAUUUCCCCCACAUAUACAUCAGUCUUGUAGCUCACAUGUCCUAGUGCUUUAGAAAACAACUGCACUAUAUUUGAGGACAACGUGUCCUAGAAACUUACACACAACUUGGACAAGAAUCUAGGAAAACAGAGAUAGAUUAUGUGAAGAUAUGGAAUUGUCUAUAACAAACAAACAAAAAAACCCAGGCAAGUCAAAAGCAUCGAAUUAGAUCAAGUGAUGAUGGUACAGAUACGGGUCCUUAACUGGGGGAGCAAGGGGGGGUCAUUAGGUGAGAACAGUAGAAAUAGGCAUUUGUCCAACAGGCAUUGUGUGCCUGAGGGCAAACCAGGUGCUCUGUGUCCUUAUCCAGCCUUCUCAGGGCCUGGCUGAGGAAGAGGUUUUUCACCCAGCUGGUAACCUUGGUGGGGGUGGAACCUUCACCCCAGAGCAAUUCUGUCUUGUUUCUGGAUGUAGAUUUGAGUUAAGCUUCCCUGGGUAAAAGUUAGGAAAAGAGAAUAUAGAGAUUUCUCAACUGUCUUCAUUGAAAUUGGAGCAGAGAGGAAUGGAUAAAUCAGUUUGGCAAAGAUAAGGCCUAACUUUUAUGGAGUCUUAACCUAUUACAGAGGUGCCUGGGUGGCUUAGUUGAUUUAGCAUCUGACUCUUGGUCUUGGCUCAGGUCGUGAUCUCAGGGUGGUGGGAUCAAGCCCCACAUCAGGCUUCACACUCAGUGCAGAG